RNAcentral lists this unclassified non-coding RNA (6288 nucleotides) under Eurytemora carolleeae. RNAcentral describes it as "uncharacterized LOC111704034". Lineage: Eukaryota; Metazoa; Arthropoda; Copepoda; Calanoida; Temoridae. The record is from RNAcentral.
UGUAAAGAUAUAGGGAUUAGACAAUUUGAGUUUGCGACAAAAACUCAGUUCAUUUAAAUCAAAAUUUUGAGCUGAUACUUUGCAAUCAUCACCCGGAUUAACCUACCCCACAAUAUAUUUGAUCCAAUCAUUUAAGUCCAUGUAUUGAUUACAGGUAAAGAAUUAAAAAAAUCCUUAGUAUAAAGUUUACUGAACAAUGAAACUUCAGUUUAAACGUGGAAAUUUAGGAAAAUGUUGAAACUGUUCUGGAUAUUUCUAUUUUUAAUCCAAUGCUCUAAAAUUCGAGGAAAAUGUGAUAAACAAUAUAGAGGUUAUUUUAUGACCUUUACUUACGACGGAGACAGAGAUGUAGAUGAUUCAUAUCGUGCAACAUGCUAUUCUGGAUAUUACUUCAUGUGGAAUGGUAAAGCAUCUGAUUCGAAAACUGCAACAUGUAUAAGGUCAGGGGGUGAUGAUAUCUGGAAGUUCAGCGAUGGCAGCACCAAAUUGGGCAAUUGUGAAUCAGCGCCAGCAUGUGAUGAUUCUUUGAGUCUAGGACGUCAGAUGACUUCAGAUUUUUCCUCUUCAAGAAUACUUGUAGGCUCCGAGUUCACUGUCACCUGUAAUACAGGAUAUAGAUUCUUCAAAGGUUCAAGCGGAUCCUAUACCACCAGUACCACUAAAGUUGGUACCUGCAACAAAAAGUACUAUGAUGGUUGGUGGAUUUAUUACAAAUGGGAAUACGGUGGGAGUUCUGAAGUAGGAGAUUGUGACCCUGAGAAUUGUCCAACUCCAAUACCACUUGGUCAGCAAAUGACUUCUGAUUUCUCUUCUACCCUGUUUGGAAGUGAGUUCACAGCAACCUGUAACGUUGGAUAUGCAUUCUUCAGAAGUUCUGGUGGAAGUUCCUUUAUAGCCUCAACUACUAAAACUGCCACUUGUAAAUAUAGUUCUCAAAACUCAAACACAUAUUGGUCUUACAAUGAUGGCACCCAGAGUUUGGAUAACUGUCUAGAAUAUUGUUCUGCUUCAAUACCAGCAACACCUACACAAUCUAGACUGACCUAUUCUCUUGGGGAAGGAAAGAAUAUAGUGGGUCAAGUACUAACAUACAUCUGUGAUACUGGGCAUGAAUUCAAAACAGCAGUUCCUGCAGGCUCUACCAGUCAAGAUCCAGUCCUUACAAAUGUGAUUAAGUCUACCUGUACUAGUUCUGGAAGUGUCAUCAGACAAUGGGUUUUAGACUACAAUCCAUUACCAGGAACUUGCGAAAGAAUAGUUUGUCCAAACCCUACAACUUUGUCAUCUCCUGAUGGAAUACUGACUUUAGUCUCCAAUAGCACAAUAGUCAAAUAUGAAGAUCAAGUCAGCUGGGAAUGUUCUAACAAAAGAUUUUACAUUAAAAAGAGCAGUGGAGGCCAGGCAUCAGCGUCAAAAUCAUUUAAAUGUAAAAGUGAUAAAACAUAUUCUGAAGACAUAAGCCAAUAUGAAUGUGUACCAAACUUUUGUGAACCAUUAGAACCAGAACAGAGUCUCAACUUUUCAUACUCAUGGGAUAAACAGUACAUAGCCAUUGGUUCUGAAUUUACGUACAGCUGUAAGAGCGGAUAUGCUUUAGAGAGUGAUGUAGACAGUAAAACUAAAGCAGAUGAUGCUAUUCAAGUCACAUGUGAAAAUGAUGGAGAAUUUGGAUAUCCUGCGCCUUGGCCACAGUGUUAUGAUAGAGUUUCCUGUGGAUCUCCUCCCAUUACACCAACUAAUGGAACAAGAGAAUGGAUACAAAGAGCUGAGAAUGAUACCAUGUAUGAAGCUAAAAUUAAUUAUACUUGUAAACUGGGAUCCCAGUUUGACAGAGAUGGGGAUGGAUUUGGAGACACUCCAUCCAUACAAACUGAAUGUCUUUGGAAGAAAUCCUGGUCUCCUUCUGUGCCCAGCUGCAAAGUCACUCAUUGCCUUGAACCUGCAACCCCUAAUUCAUCACUCAAUGUAAACUUUUCCUGGGAUGAAGAAUUGGUUCCAAUUGGAAACAGUUAUACAUACUAUUGUUAUUCUGAUAUGGCAAUUGAAAGUUUUACCAAUAAAAAAUCAGAAGCAUUAAACUACUUUAACGUAAACUGUGAUCCAAGCGGGGAAUAUGAAUAUCCAUUAUACUGGCCACAGUGCUCUGCAACAAUUCUAUGUAAAUCCCUUCCAAAUGCUACCAUUGAUGGUACAAGAGUGUGGGUCAAGGGUGCAGAUGGUGAUAAAUCAUAUGAGUCUAAGGUGGAAUAUUUUUGUACAAGGGGAUCUCAAUUUGACACAGAUGAAGAUGGAUUCGGGGACAGUUUAUCUAUAGUUAAUGAGUGUCUCUGGAAAAAAGAAUGGAGCCCAUGGUCAGUACUUCCGCUUUGUAAAAUAACUCACUGUUUGGAGCCACUAACACCAGAGUUGUCCUUAAACUUCAACUUUUCUUGGGGUAAUGAUAUGGUAGCUGUGGGGGAUAAUGUUACUUACAACUGUCAAAUAGAUAUGACUCUUGAAGCAAACACAACCUUAAAAUCAGAAUCAGUUACGAUGAUUAAUGCUAGCUGUAAUUCAGAUGGAACCUAUUCCUAUCCUCUGACAUGGCCACAAUGUUCAGAAACUAUAUCUUGCGGUACACCACCUUCUGUUCCAGUUAAUGGCUCUCAGAUCUGGAUUAAUGGGACUGAACCAAAUGAUACUUAUGAUACUGGUAUUCUUUAUAAAUGUGUAAAAGGCUCUAAAUUUGAUACUGAUGGUGAUGGAAUCGGGGACAGUGAUAAUGUAACAAUUAAUUGUCAAUGGAGAAAAACCUGGAGUCCAUGGCCUGUCCUUCCUAAAUGUAUUAUAACCCAUUGUGUUGAUUCUUUUCCCAUACCUGAAGAUUCCAAUUUAGAGGAGGCUAAAACUGGUUGGGUUCCUAUUAACACACUAAAGUGGUACCAGUGUUCAGGAAAACUUCUGAAUGGAUCCCAUACAAAAUUUUUUGAGUCUGAUAGAUCUAAAACAUCAUUUUCUAUGUUAUGCCUGUCAAAUGGAUCCUUUCAAUUUGUUAACUCAAGACAAAACUGGCCAACCUGUUUAAGUACAGUUUAUUGCGGACAACCCCCAAAUGCAUCAGAAAAUGGGGUUAGAACUUGGAUGAAUGGUAUAGAGUUUAAAGAAUCUUAUGGUACAAAAGUCUCAUACCAAUGUGUCAAAGGUUCUCAGUUUGAUACUAACAGAGAUGGAAAGGGAGACAGCCUUUCUAUCGAAACAGAAUGCAUGUGGAAUAAAGCUUGGACACCUUGGUCAACUCUACCAAAGUGUGUUAUAACACAUUGUGUUAAUCCUUUUAAAAUACCUUUAAACACAUCUUUAGAGGAAUCAACUUCGGCUUGGACAGAAAUAAAUAGAAAUAAAGAGUAUAGAUGUUCAAGAAUGAAAAAUGGCAUGCACACACAAUUUUUUGAGAAUGAUCGUUUCAAAUCCUCUUUUUCAAUGCGAUGUUUAGAAAACGGAACAUUUGAUUUUGUUAAUGAUACUGAACACUGGCCUAUGUGUCUGGAAGAUAUUGAAUGUGAAAAACUUCCACCAUCAAUUCCUACUGAUCCUGAAUACCUGGAUCCUAAAGAUGAUGGAAAAGUAAUCAUAAAUAAGUUGAACUACCCAACAGGAAAUGCACAGAAUUUAGUAUUCACUUCUGAAAGAAAUAACACAGAGAUUGCAAGAAACUACAUGGCAAAUUUAACGUAUUAUUGUGGAGCUGCUAGAAAUUUCAAAGACAAAAAUGGUGUUCAUCAUGAUAUCCAUAAAAUGACUUGUCUCUGGGAUAGAAACUGGACUGCAAUCAAUGUUCUGGACCCAUGUGACUGGAUUCAGUGCUUAAAACCUCCAAUUCCACCAAGCUUUACAAACUUAAGGGUUACUGAUUGGGAUGGUAAACCAAUCAAUUUUGGAGAUAAAAUCACAUAUGUGUGUGAAAAAGGAUAUCAGUUUGAAGAUGACCAGAAUCAGGUUAGCAUAUCAUAUCAAUGUCAAGAUGGAGUAAGACCAGAAACAACCCGUGGGUUCUUUAACACCCCAGCAGCUGAUGAUCAGUGGCCUAUGUGUACAAAAGGUCCAUUAUGCAACUUUCCUCCAAAUCCACCGUUUGAGGGUACACUUGAAAAUAUUCCAAUCAUAUUUCCAAAAGAAGCUGAAGAGGCCUGUGACAUCGAUGGCAAUCGAGUUGACAUUAAAUGUCCUUCCUUCCUGAAUAUUUAUAUAACCUCGGGUUAUUAUGGAAGACUUAAAGGAAGUACUGUCCUUUGUAAUGGAAAUAAAGAUUCAGUAUCAAUAACAGAAGACUGUUUAAAUCUGCAGAUUGUUGAUUCAUCAAGAACAACUUGUAUUUCUAAGUAUAAUUGUACAAUCCCUGUUGAUACCACAAUUCAAACCUGGAAACCACCUUGUGACAAGAAACAGAAGAAUCAGUUGAUGCUAAAUUAUGUUUGUGUUCGAUGCAGGGAUUGGGAUAUUCAUGUUGUGGAUCAAAAUUGUAUUUCCAAAGCAUUGAUAUUAAAUUUGUGGAGAACUACAGCAGAUCUUAUGAAUGUAGCUCAAGAGGACAUGAAAACUAUUCUCAUAGAAGAGCUUAGCAAACAUCUGGACAAUAAAGAACACUCUUUACAAGAUUUGAGUGACAGGGAUGUAAGUAAGACUGAUGGUUCUCUGUGUUCGCUGGCUUUUAUGCAUCUUGCUCUCAUUGAUUCAAUCAAAACAGAAAGUCAAAUGACAAAUUUAUCUUAUGAUACAAUGAAGGAAACAAUUGUCGAGGAAAUAAUGAAAGUAAGAAACUUAAAUGGCUCAACUUAUGAUAUCAACCAAAAGGAUGAAGUUCAUCUGAAUAAUUUUAAGCAAGUUGUAUGUGGUGACAACCCAGUUAAAUCAGAUUCAGUCGGCUCUAUUCCAACUCUGAGUGCAGAAGAUACUGAAGAAACAAGAGACAUGAGAAAAUAUGGAGCAAAUCUUAGAUAUGAAUGUGGUGUAGCCAGAAAAUUUCAGAGUAAGGAAACUUCUAAAACCUAUGAUGAGAGAUGGAUGACCUGCAAUUGGAAUACAAGCUGGUCACCAAUUGACACUCUAGAUGAGUGUAAGUGGGUUCAAUGCAUUAAUCCACCAAAGCCUCCUGUGGGAAGUGAGUUAUCCUCUAUGUGGGAUGGAAAUCCUGUUGAAUUUAACUCUUGGGUCGGUUACAACUGCAAGAAGGGUUUAUACUUUGAACUGAAUCGAGAUUUACGCCAGUGGAAUAUGACUUGUCUUCCAGGUGGUUAUUGGCAAGUUCCCGAAGUCUGGCCUAGGUGCUUGGCAAGUGUGAACUGUACAGAACCACCUCCACGUCCCAAUGCUGGAACCUGGGAGUGGAAUCAUUCAUACAAAUAUAAAACCCAGAUCCAGUAUACUUGUGGACCUUAUGGAAAGUUUAAAACUGCAAGUGGGAUAUUAAAGGCUUCAAUCAUAGCAGAAUGUAACUGGAACAAAACCUGGACACCUGCUGCUUUGGAUCCUUGUCAAGCGACCAGAUGCCAAGAUAUUCCUGCCCCACCACGAAGCUCUGGACUAGUUUAUAAGCCUGAUCCUAAUAACCCCCUCCCAAACACAGGUGUUUGUCUGUAUAGCCCUGAUGUUCCAGCCAAGCUGCCAUUUCCUGGAGAAAGCUUUUGUUCCAAAAAUACUAAACUUAUGCUAGUUGGAUACAUACCUAAGACAGUAAGACAUGUACCAGCAUUAUUAGUUGCUUCUAAUAUGAGCAAUGAAGGUAUACAUAUCAACCUAAACUUGAAGAACCAGGUUAUACAAAGAUACAGUGUAACUAAUGGAACUAAGUCCACUAUUGAUGGAUUGCCUGGUGAUGGAACCAGUAUAGAUUACGAUGAACCGUUUGUUCUAAACCUCAGCUGUGAUCAGGAUGGAUGGAAUCUGCAAAUUAACAAUGAGCCAAGUUAUCUUACUGUUUUUCAUGCUAUGCCAGUGGAUAACCUCACAGAGAUCAGGGUAACUGGGGAUAUUGUUGUCAACUACAUUGGGAUUGGAGAUAAAGGUCAAGAUCCAGCGCCCCCUGUUGGGUUUAACCUAACCUAUGUCUGUCCAGAGGGGCAAGUAUUUGACAGUGAUUGGUAUGCUACACCAUUCGUUAUGAUGACAUGUCAGAUUGACAGCUCCUAGACCCCUCUCCCCCCCGCACACAAUUUUCUUUCUCGGCAGAUGGUGUAUUUGAACCGAUAGACUGGUCGCAUUAUCAAUGUGUUUUACCAACAACUACUGAGUGUUAUGAUUGCACAACUACAA